AAUAGAUACCCAGGUAGUCCUUGCCGUAAACGAUGUAUACUUGGUGUAGCUGGAAUCAACCCUGGCUGUGCCGGAGCUAACGCGUUAAGUAUACCGCCUGGGGAGUACAGUCGCAAGGCCGAAACUCAAAAGAAUUGACGGGGACCCGCACAAGCAGUGGAGCAUGUGGUUUAAUUCGAUGCAACGCGAAAAACCUUACCCAGGCUUGACAUGCAGUGGACAGUGCCAGAGAUGGCACCUUCCUUCGGGACCGCUGUACAGGUGCUGCAUGGCUGUCGUCAGCUCGUGCCGUGAGGUGUUGGGUUAAGUCCCGCAACGAGCGCAACCCUUAUCGUUAGUUGCCAACAUUUUAGGUGGGAACUCUAGCGAGACUGCCCGGGUUAACCGGAGGAAGGUGAGGAUGACGUAAGUCCGCAUGGCCCUUAUGUCUGGGGCUACACACGUGCUACAAUGGCCGGUCAAAAGGCAGCAAAACCGCGAGGUGAAGCAAAUCCCAAAAGCGGCCCCAGUUCAGAUUGUAGUCUGCAACUCGA
This 533-nucleotide ribosomal RNA is filed under the name uncultured bacterium. RNAcentral's name for it is "bacterial SSU rRNA". It matches the Rfam family "Bacterial small subunit ribosomal RNA", at positions 777 to 1315 of the family's 1533-position model. The record is from RNAcentral.